Lactuca sativa (garden lettuce) is the source of this 779-nucleotide RNA transcript. It is a transcript of the gene named protein NONRESPONDING TO OXYLIPINS 2, mitochondrial, with no coding region annotated. Lineage: Eukaryota; Viridiplantae; Streptophyta; Magnoliopsida; Asterales; Asteraceae. The record is from RefSeq and is a predicted model, not a curated record.
CCCGAUAGUUUAAUUGUCGCUUGCCCUAAAACCCUAAACCCUAUCAGACCAUCAAAAUUGGAUUGAUUUAGAUUGGAUAUUUUUUACAUUUUCCAUCAGAUCCCCGAUCCCGCGAUAUUGCCAAUGGCUUCAAGAUGCAGCAGAUUCAUGAACAAAGCUUCAAUUGCAAAUCUCAAAUCCGCUUUCAAGACGGCUUCCAUGCCCAAAUCUGCCCCUUCCUCUCCAAAAUUUCCUCUUCCAACCAGGUCUACCACCUCACCGGUUCCUCGCUUCUCAGCGUCAAGGUGUCCAUCAGAACUCGGAGGUGUUCAGUCUCUGUUACCUCUACAUAAUGCAGUCGCUGCAGCAAGAUUGACAUCCUGCCUGAGCACAACUUCAAGGAGUUGCAGAUCUCUUUCACAGGGUACACUCUGCCGUACCUCUCCUGGCCUCUAAUAUGUUUUUUGUUAUUUGACUGCACAUGAGUUUCUCAUUGCAUAAAGAUAUACAAGAUCUGUCAUCAUAUCAAAUGCAUUUGAUGGAUCGUGAUUGAAUUUGCUGUGUGUAGAGAUGAAUUUGAUGGAACGUGAUAGAUUAUGCUGUUUCUAGAGAGCUGGGUUUAUCUGUUCCAAGGUGACAUGUUAGCAGACAUUUGGACUGAGAAAACAAGAAGACAGGUUCUGUAAUUCAUCCUCAUUGUUCUGUAAUUCAUAAAAAGAUGCUUCAAACUUUACAAAAUAGCACAAACAAAUUCAAUUUGAGUUAUGAUUUUGAGAAAAGUUAUUCGCUACUUUCAAUUA